RNAcentral lists this ribosomal RNA (582 nucleotides) under uncultured bacterium. RNAcentral's name for it is "bacterial SSU rRNA". It matches the Rfam family "Bacterial small subunit ribosomal RNA", at positions 238 to 815 of the family's 1533-position model. The record is from RNAcentral.
CGAUUAGCUUGUUGGUGAGGUAACGGCUUACCAAGGCGAUGAUCGGUAGGUGGCCUGAGAGGGUGGUCACCCACACUGGGAUUGAGAUACUGCCCAGACUCCUACGGGAGGCAGCAGUCUAGAAGCUUCUACAAUGGACGAAAGUCUGAUAGAGCGACGCCGCGUGCGGGAUUGAAGGCCGUGAGGUUGUAAACCGCUGUCAGCAGGGAAGAAUGCCCGGAUGGUGAAUCCGGGAGUGACGGUACCUGCAGAGGAAGCCCUGGCUAACUCCGUGCCAGCAGCCGCGGUAAUACGGAGAGGGCAAACGUUGUUCGGAAUUACUGGGCGUAAAGGGUGCGUAGGCGGUUCGGUCAGUCUGGUGUGAAAGCCCCGGGCUUAACUCGGGAACUGCACUGGAAACUGCCGAGCUCGAGGAUGGGAGAGGCAGGUGGAAUUCCUGGUGUAGCGGUGGAAUGCGUAGAUAUCAGGAAGAACACUCGUGGCGAAGGCGGCCUGCUGGCCCAUUUCUGACGCUGAGGCACGAAAGCCAGGGGAGCGAACGGGAUUAGAUACCCCGGUAGUCCUGGCCGUAAACGGUGACAC